UGGGCAACAAGAGCGAAACUCCAUCUCAAAAAAAAAAAAAGAAAAGAAAAAAGAAGAGAGAGAUUCUACAGAGACAUAUUGGAGCUCGCUCAAAUGUGAGCCACCAGAUAAGGGCUGCUGGAAGGAGGCGAAGAAAGAUGACUCAGAACAUGACAUCUGUCUUCAUGUGAAAGAAUGGGUAGAACUGAUGUGGCACUACGAAUUAUCUGUAGGGCAAAGGACUGGAAGUUAAUUGAAGAUAGAUUUUAAUUCAAAACAAGGAUCAGUUCUUUAAGAGUCUGAAGAAGGGUUAUUUUAGGAAGUAGCUGCCUCUGCCCCCUUCCCACCUGUUGCAGUGGAUCAAAUAUACACUGAAUCACUACCUCAUUCAUUCAACACUCAUUUCAUGAAGGCUUAACGCAUUGCUGUGGGGCUUACUCUGCCGCCGACCUGGGGCCUAGCUAGGCUUUGUAGUCUAUAUAGUCUCAUAGUCCUGCAAACUGGCUCCAGCCCAGGAAAUCACCCUGUGUAGGAGUGGCUGCAGUCAAGACGCAGGAAGACAAUCCUGAGGGGACCUGACAUCCAGCAUCUGAGUUCAGACUACUAUAGUUUGAAUAAGUGACCUGCAGAUUCAUUACACACAAGGGAACAUGUCUUCCUUUUGUUGGAUUGAACUCUGUGAUACCAAGCAGUCAAAACUACCUGUCAGAUGUCCAAUCCCUGAUCCAGAAUUUCAAGGAGCUGUGGAGGCAGCUGUACAAUGGGAGUGUCAUAAACCAGAGAACUUUGUGUCCAGGCUAUGUCUAUUAGGUGAGUAUAUGGUGAGAAGGCAGCUGUCUGUGAACCAGAAGGAGGGCCCUCACCAAGAAGUGACCAUGCUGGCACCCUGAUCUUGGACUUCUGGCAUCUGGAACUAAAGUUUGCUUGCUUUCAAGCCUGGAACGCCUGGGACCUUCAGUGAACCUCUUCCUCAGAUACAUGCCUGCGUAGUGUCAACUUGCUCUAUUGCUGGGAAGUGCUUGGCUGAUUAUCUUCUUCCUGCCCUGGGAGAUGUCUCACUAAUCAUUCAUUCAUUCAGCAAACAUUACAACGUUCCAGGCACUGUGCUAACUACUGAAUAUUCAGUGAUAUAGGAUAAAAUCUCUGUCCUAAAGUUGCUUGCAGUCAGAUGGGAGAAAAGCAAGUAAAUACAACAAUUUGUGAGCUUUAAAAAAGACCUAUAACAUCUUGUGAAGGAGGGGCAGAACUUAUCAUCCUCAACUAACAUAGAGAAAAUUGUCUCAUAGAGCAGGAGCUGAUAGCCCUUGGCUUUCUGGAUGGAGGAGACAGCAAUGGAGUGGAGGGAUUUCUCAGGAAUCUCCCCCAGGGGCUGCUCUAC
This 1357-nucleotide long non-coding RNA is filed under the name Homo sapiens (human). Its description in RNAcentral is "HSALNT0295448". Lineage: Eukaryota; Metazoa; Chordata; Mammalia; Primates; Hominidae. The record is from RNAcentral.